ACUCUUCUAGUAUAAUUAUUACAAUUGACUUCCAAUCUUUAAAAUCUGGUUGCACUCCAGAGAAGAGUA
Molecule: transfer RNA, 69 nt
Filed under: Tinamus major (great tinamou)
Lineage: Eukaryota; Metazoa; Chordata; Aves; Tinamiformes; Tinamidae
Description: tRNA-Gly
Source: RNAcentral